CCUACGAGUGGCAGCAGUGAGGAAUAUUGGUCAAUGGGCGCGAGCCUGAACCAGCCAAGUCGCGUGAGGGAAGACGGCCCUACGGGUUGUAAACCUCUUUUGCCGGGGAGCAACGGGCGCCACGUGUGGCGCCACUGAUAGUACCCGACGAAAAAACAUCGGCUAACUCCGUGCCAGCAGCCGAGGUCAUACGGAGGAUGCGAGCGUUAUCCGGAUUGAUUGGGUUUAAAGGGUGCGUAGGCGGAGCGUUAAGUCAGUGGUCAAAUUGAGCGGCUAAACCCCUUCCCGCCAUUGAAACUGGCGAGCUUGAGUGGAAGAGAAGUAGGCGGAAUGCGUGGUGUAGCGGUGAAAUGCAUAGAUAUCACGCAGAACCCCGAUUGCGAAGGCAGCAUGCCGGAUUCCGACUGACGCUGAAGCACGAAAGCGUGGGGAUCGAACAGGAUUAGAUACCCGUGUAGUC
RNAcentral lists this ribosomal RNA (460 nucleotides) under uncultured bacterium. RNAcentral describes it as "partial 16S ribosomal RNA". It matches the Rfam family "Bacterial small subunit ribosomal RNA", at positions 338 to 795 of the family's 1533-position model. The record is from RNAcentral.